RNAcentral lists this ribosomal RNA (1421 nucleotides) under uncultured prokaryote. Its description in RNAcentral is "partial 16S ribosomal RNA". It matches the Rfam family "Bacterial small subunit ribosomal RNA". The record is from RNAcentral.
AACGAACGCUGGCGGCGCGCCUAACACAUGCAAGUCGAGCGAUUAAAGCUCCUUCGGGAGUAUAUAAAGCGGCGGACGGGUGAGUAAGGCAUAGACAACCUGCCCUAAAGAGGGGGAUAGCUUGGAGAAAUUCGGGUUAAUACCGCGUAAGCUGUUUGAGUAAUAUCAACCAGUAAAGGCUUCGGCCGCUUUGGGAUGGGUCUAUGUUAGAUUAGAUAGUUGGUGGGGUAACGGCCUACCAAGUCGACGAUCUAUAACUGGUCUGAGAGGAUGAUCAGUCACACUGGAACUGAGACACGGUCCAGACUCCUACGGGAGGCAGCAGUGAGGAAUUUUGCGCAAUGGGCGAAAGCCUGACGCAGCGACGCCGCGUGGAGGACGAAGUCUUUCGAGAUGUAAACUCCUGUCAGUGGGGAUGAUAAUGACAGUACCCACAGAGGAAGCACCGGCUAACUCCGUGCCAGCAGCCGCGGUAAGACGGAGGGUGCAAGCGUUGUUCGGAUUUACUGGGCGUAAAGCGUACGUAGGCGGCGAAUUAAGUCAGUGGUGAAAUACUGCCGCUUAACGGUAGAACUGCCAUUGAUACUGGAUUUCUUGAGUAUGGUUGAGGUAGGCGGAAUGUGUCAUGUAGCGGUGAAAUGCAUAGAUAUGACUCAGAACACCGAUUGCGAAGGCAGCUCACUAAACUAUUACUGACGCUGAGGCACGAAAGCGGUGGGGAGCGAACAGGAUUAGAUACCCUGGUAGUCCACGCCGUAAACGAUGUUCACUCGCUGUCUGCGAUACACAGUAGGCGGCUAAGCGAAAGCAUUAAGUGAUCCACCUGGGGAGUACGGUCGCAAGAUUGAAACUCAAAGGAAUUGACGGGGGCCCGCACAAGCGGAGGAACAUGUGGUUUAAUUCGAUGAUACGCGAGGAACCUUACCUGGGCUUAAAUGUAGAGUGCAUAAACGGGAAACUGUUUUCCUUCGGGACUCUUUACAAGGUGCGGCAUGGUUGUCGUCAGCUCGUGCCGGGAGGUGUCGGGUUAAGUCCCAUAACGAGCGCAACCCCUAUCGUUAGUUGCCAGCGAGUCAAGUCGGGGACUCUAACGAGACUGCCGGUGUAAACCGCGAGGAAGGUGGGGAUGACGUCAAAUCAGCACGGCCCUUAUGUCCAGGGCUACACACGUGUUACAAUGGCCGAUACAAAGGGCAGCUACCAGGUGACUGGAUGCUAAUCUCGAAAGUCGGUCUUAGUUCGGAUCGAAGUCUGCAACUCGACUUCGUGAAGCUGGAUUCGCUAGUAAUCGUAGAUCAGCAAUGCUACGGUGAAUACGUUCCCGGGCCUUGUACACACCGCCCGUCAAGCCAUGGAAGCUGGGGGUACCUGAAGUCUGUCACCGCAAGGAGCGGCCUAGGGUAAAACUGGUAACUGGGGCU